ACCUUUUGAUGCACACUCACACCUCCACUAGCAGGGAACGGACUUACCUGAAACUGCAAAUGUUGCUUCAUCAACACCAACUCACCAAAGUCGGUUGACACGAGGAUAUCGUUGAGAGAGCAGCACACACUAAGUUGUCAUUUUCGUCGAUGAAGAAACGAUCAUCUCGAAGGAGGCUGCCUCACUUCAUGUGGACAAAACUCCACACAAACCCAUCACUCCAAAUUCAGCCGCACAGUUCGACCUGAUCAUCCCAACCCCCUAACACACACACAAACGAUUCCAUCAAGAUGCACGCGCCGGACGAGUCCCCGGCAGCAACAAUUGCAGUCCAGCAAAACUCGAGCAGCAACACACCAACACACGUGAAUGUUUGUUUCGUCGAUUCUCCGUUUCCUCUCGUUCUCAUUCACCUCUAGUGGAGCGGUGUCAUCUUCACACCAAAGAAAACACUUCUCUCCCACUCUCUCUUUUAAUUCACUUUUGAAUGGAACUGUCAAUCUUCACACAAAACGGCGACGCAGAAAUACUCCAAAAUCCUUCGAAAAACUAAAUAUUCCUUGGAACUUCACUAACUUCAAUUAGCUUGGCUAUUAAACUAUAAGAAGAACAACUUUUCGAUCCGCAGCACGCCAAAAAAACACCGAAAAUCUUCGAAUUUCUAGCAGCGAAAAAUCUUAAAAAUGAUUGUUUUGACUUACCUCACGGCCACCGGCUUAUCGGCAACCGAUGUAACCAGCACGGUCGAAUGUGACGUCGAUAUCGGCGGAAUCUGUGGAAUAGCCGGUGCAAUGCCUCCUGCUAUUCCACCCACAAUCCCGCUGAUGAGUCCCGGCAGAACUUGUCCUAUGACGGCGGGGAUGAUUAUCUCCGCGCUAGUUAUGGAAGUAAUAUUUUAAAUUUAUUUCAAAAAUCACAACAAGCCGAAUGGAAAUACCCAGGAAACGUUUUCGCUUCUUCUCCGCUGCUUUGACCGCACAAAACCGCCCCAAAAACGGUAAUAAACGUAAGGAUUUGCA
Long non-coding RNA from Culex quinquefasciatus (southern house mosquito), 1019 nucleotides. RefSeq lists it as uncharacterized. The record is from RefSeq and is a predicted model, not a curated record. NCBI's taxonomy places the organism in Eukaryota, Metazoa, Arthropoda, Insecta, Diptera, Culicidae. The transcript is spliced from 2 exons.